GUGCUUCCAUACAAAGGGGACAGAAGAGAUGAUGGAAGGCCUCAGUACUGCAGGAGGGGAGACGGAUGUCAUCUACAAUCACACAAUACAUGGGAGGUCACAGAACGCCAGGGUGACGUAACAAUUCAAACCAUGAAGAGGUAACAGAGCCCUUCGCGCGUCUCAACACGUGGUGACGCAGCUAAUAACCUGUGAUGCAUACAUGGGAACAAAUGCAUAGAAAAACUUGUCAAUGACACGGCAAAGUAAAACCCAAAUGAAGCGAGGUGAAAGAAUGGGCUGCAGCGCAGGCAAAACUGCACCACGUUACAGACUGCUCGCCUGGGAUGGAACGGUGGGGAGGUGCGCAGACGGAUGGACAAGCGCCUGGCAAAAUGGAUUUCUUUUCCUAGACUGCUAAUGCUACUAACAGUUCCCUCCUCACAGGGUCGCUAUAACGAGGUAACAUACAGCACUU
Molecule: long non-coding RNA, 457 nt
Filed under: Homo sapiens (human)
Lineage: Eukaryota; Metazoa; Chordata; Mammalia; Primates; Hominidae
Description: non-protein coding DSCR9:10
Source: RNAcentral